RNAcentral lists this ribosomal RNA (330 nucleotides) under uncultured Pseudobutyrivibrio sp. Its description in RNAcentral is "partial 16S ribosomal RNA". The record is from RNAcentral. Lineage: Bacteria; Bacillati; Bacillota; Clostridia; Lachnospirales; Lachnospiraceae.
GGAGUUUGGGCCGUGUCUCAGUCCCAAUGUGGCCGGUCACCCUCUCAGGUCGGCUACUGAUCGUCGCCUUGGUGAGCCGUUACCUCACCAACUAGCUAAUCAGACGCGGGGCCAUCGUAUGCCGAUAAAUCUUUUCACACUUUAUCAUGCGAUAUCGUGCGCUUAUGCGGUAUUAGCAGCCGUUUCCAACUGUUGUCCCCCUGCAUACGGCAGGUUCCCCACGCGUUACUCACCCGUCCGCCACUAAGUCAAUAUAUCGUCACCCCGAAGGGAUCGUAAUAUAUUGCUUCGUUCGACUUGCAUGUGUUAAGCACGCCGCCAGCGUUCAUC